Molecule: ribosomal RNA, 535 nt
Filed under: Bacillus sp. (in: firmicutes)
Lineage: Bacteria; Bacillati; Bacillota; Bacilli; Caryophanales; Bacillaceae
Description: bacterial SSU rRNA
Rfam family: Bacterial small subunit ribosomal RNA
Source: RNAcentral
AGAGUUUGAUCCUGGCUCAGGACGAACGCUGGCGGCGUGCCUAAUACAUGCAAGUCGAGCGGAUCUUUGGGAGCUUGCUCCCAAAGAUUAGCGGCGGACGGGUGAGUAACACGUGGGCAACCUGCCUGUAAGACUGGGAUAACUCCGGGAAACCGGGGCUAAUACCGGAUAAUUCUUUUCCUCUCAUGGGGACAAGCUGAAAGACGGUUUCGGCUGUCACUUACAGAUGGGCCCGCGGCGCAUUAGCUAGUUGGUGAGGUAACGGCUCACCAAGGCAACGAUGCGUAGCCGACCUGAGAGGGUGAUCGGCCACACUGGGACUGAGACACGGCCCAGACUCCUACGGGAGGCAGCAGUAGGGAAUCUUCCGCAAUGGACGAAAGUCUGACGGAGCAACGCCGCGUGAGCGAUGAAGGCCUUCGGGUCGUAAAGCUCUGUUGUUAGGGAAGAACAAGUAUCGGAGUAACUGCCGGUACCUUGACGGUACCUAACCAGAAAGCCACGGCUAACUACGUGCCAGCAGCCGCGGUAAUAC